RNAcentral lists this ribosomal RNA (375 nucleotides) under uncultured eukaryote. RNAcentral describes it as "bacterial SSU rRNA". It matches the Rfam family "Eukaryotic small subunit ribosomal RNA", at positions 38 to 417 of the family's 1831-position model. The record is from RNAcentral.
GCAUCUUAAGAUUAGCCAUGCAUGUCUAGUAUAAAUGGUAUACAAUGAAACUGCGAAUGGCUCAUUAAAACAGUUAUAGUUUAUUUGGUAACCAAACUUACAUGGAUAACCGUGGUAAUUCUAGAGCUAAUACAUGCUGUCAAGCCCGACUCACGAAGGGCCGUAUUUAUUAUAUAUCAGCCAAUAAGCAUCUGCUAUUGUGGUGACUCAUAGUAACUUAACCGGAUCGCAUGGGCUUGCCCCGCGACAAAACAUUCAAGUUUCUGCCCCAUCAUGCUUUCGAUGGUAGUGUAUUGGACUACCAUGGCUUCUCACUGCCUAACGGAAGAUUAACGCUUCGCUUCUUCAUACGAAAGCGGAGAAAAAUUAAUCCCU